AGGGUUUCUAAAACGCCUUUUGUUGCCUG
RNAcentral lists this non-coding RNA (29 nucleotides) under Mus musculus (house mouse). The record is from RNAcentral. Lineage: Eukaryota; Metazoa; Chordata; Mammalia; Rodentia; Muridae.